CGAGACCUUAACCUGCUAAAUAGUCAGGCCGGCUUUUGCUGGUCGCAGACUUCUUAGAGGGACUGUCAGCGUCUAGCUGACGGAAGUUUGAGGCAAUAACAGGUCUGUGAUGGCCUUAGAUGUUCUGGGCCGCACGCGCGCUACACUGGCAGAGCCAACGAGUUCUCACCUUGGCCGGAAGGUCUGGGUAAUCUUGUGAAACUCU
Molecule: ribosomal RNA, 205 nt
Filed under: Thanatephorus cucumeris
Lineage: Eukaryota; Fungi; Basidiomycota; Agaricomycetes; Cantharellales; Ceratobasidiaceae
Description: partial small subunit ribosomal RNA
Rfam family: Eukaryotic small subunit ribosomal RNA
Source: RNAcentral